RNAcentral lists this long non-coding RNA (3950 nucleotides) under Hordeum vulgare. RNAcentral's name for it is "long non-coding RNA (HVUL_LNC018021)". Lineage: Eukaryota; Viridiplantae; Streptophyta; Magnoliopsida; Poales; Poaceae. The record is from RNAcentral.
GUCUCUUCUUCUCCACGUUAAACAUAACAAUAUCUAACCUACUCUUUUUCUCUUCUUCUCCACGUGAAACAAAACAAGUUGAACCAAAGCAUGCAAUCUCCCACGGUCCUCUGUAUCCUCCUCUUUCUCUGUUUCUCUCUCCCAGUGUCUUCCUCUCUCUUUCUAUUUAUCUCUCUUUCCCCAUAGAAAACAAAAUCACCAGUUUACCGCAACAAGAUGGGCGCAAGGCCAUGACCCACAACGAAAAAGGUUUAUCCAACAAAGGACAAUGGAGCGGCGGCAAGGGAUCCAACAGAUCCGUCCAGAUCAUGUCCCUCGGGAUACUCUUCUCCAGCGAGGCAUAGAAACUGAGAGGCGGCACGGAAGCAAGCCAGCUGGGGGCAUUGAUCCAGUGUAGUCAAUGAACUUGUUGCGUCAAUUUUCUUUUCCUCAUUUGGAUCAGGUUCACCUCAAACAGACAAAAUAUCUAUUUAAGAAUAUCUGGAUGAAGUUGGUUUCUCACACAAUUUUGUACUGUUCCAGUUUAUACUUGAAUCUAUCCCAACUUUACCAUUGGAUUUGGAUUAGCCAAGGGCAUUCUAGCCAAUUUGCUUCUAGCGGUUUGCUGUACCGAUUUAAAUCACACUGCAAGAGUACACACUUCAUAUACGGCUUACAGUAAUAGAAGGACGUGAGUUGAUCAAAGUUCCAUACUCCUUUCUUUCUGAUUUGCGGCUUGACUAAUCCUUACAAUUAUGUGUUCCUUUGAUCUGUUAUGUUAAAGUUCUAUUUUCUUUGUCUCUACAAUUUAAGAUCUAAAACAAUGGUGUACGAUAUGCUUCAUGCAAUUAGUAAUUAGCCUACGGGAUUCCAUAUUUCCAUUAGCCUUGACAACAACAACCUUGAGAUGAAGAGGUCAGUUUAUUGUCUAACAAGUUAUUGUUAUUUACGCAUGAAGAUUCAGUUUACAUGGCAUCAAAUUAUAAGGUAACAUCCACUUUGAAUUUCCAUCCACUUUAAAGCGACAAGAUGCUUAUUUUCUAUCUAUUACUAUACUAAUUAUUUACUUCCUAGAAAUUCCCACGUAAGUGAUAUAUAAAAAAAAGAACACAACGUUGAUUUUAUGGGUCUGAGUUAUGACAAUCCAGAUUUGAUGUGAAAUCUUUAAUUGAAUAGUCAGAAAAAAGAGGAAAUAGAACAGUUAAUUUAUGUUGCGAACGACCACCCUUCCUCUCCUUAUUUGUGGUGCGCGAUCUCCUCUCUUAAUCAUGUCUGUUGUGGUUAACAAGUUCAUCCGUUGAUGCUCCCAACACAAGACCAUGCACAAUUUAUCGCUUCAUGCAUAUGUGCUCCCGGGAGAAGUUGAUUAGUUCCUAAUUUAUUUCUAAAUCGGCAGCAAGGAAUUAGACUAAGGCUUUUGAAAUUAUCGAUUUUGAAGACACACACCACGAGUUUUAUUCCAUCAAAGCUCAAACAUGAUCUGCUUAUCAAAAGUAAAUUUGUUGCAUAUCUAUUUUGUAUCCAUAAGUGCAUCACCAUUCCUGUCACUUUCCAAAAGAAAUCCACACACAUAAACUGCAUGUUUGUGUUCGUAGGGCUGCAUGCUAGCUGAUUUGCUGUUUGCACCAUGCACUUGAGAUCGAGCAGCAAGCCAUGCACGCAUGUCACUUAAUUAGUUCGACUUGGGGCUAGAUACCCGUACCACAAUAUGAGCAUGUGCUGAAGGUGAGUUUUUUUCCUGGUAAUCAAAAAUUUGUGAUUCAUCUCCUCUUAGAGCGCAAAACAAAAAUACUUUGUUGUGUAUCUGUUUGAUAUAUCUCUCCACUAAACUGUAACGCAAUAUGUUUUCCAUAAUGUUUUUGAUAGUUCUAAGUUGCAAACAAAAUUAAAAUCUUAAGGGAUGUCCCCACUUGGCAGGUAGAGAGACGGUACUUGUAAGCAGUCUGAAUGCUUCCAUGUGCCCUUAAUAACCAUGCAUGCAGCAAAACCCAUCUGGAUACCACAAUUCGAUACAGUUUUAGCAAAGUCAAUGAAAUAAGCAAUUUACUAACAUUGCAAGACAAAGAUAGAAGCAUAACAGCAUACAGAUUGAUCUAACCUAAUGGUCAAACAAUUGGUAAUUAUUUAUGCUACAUAGCUAUAGUGACCAUGUUUAGUUAUGCUCAUACUAGGCAAUGCGGUAAUGUAUGUGUCAAUUUCGACACAUCCAUGAUGUUGUCAUGACCUCCAUAAAUUAGUUAAUUAUGAGUAUUUUAUUGGUGUUUUUUUAUUGAUGGAGGGAGUGAUUAUACAGUUCAUAUGUUAGCUGGUGGGUUGCAAGGGGGAAGCAAUGUUGUUAAAGGCUGGAGGAUUUCAAAUAAGAUUCCUGCGUAAGGGGGAAAAAUGUAAAAGCAUAGUGUUCAUGAGCCAUGAGCCAUGAGCCAUAUCAACAUCUGUGGACUGUUUGUUUCAUAUUUGGUUCCAUUGUAACCUUAUAAGGUCACCAUGCAAAUAUUGUUAUUCAUGAGUCAAACUAAAUCGGUUAGGCUUCACAAAUCGUAAAUCAUAUCAUCAUUUCAUCAUAAUCCUUCCUCCCAUUUGUAAGUGUUGUUUCAAUAGUACUUCGAUAAUAUCCGAGAACGGAAAUACAUUACUUGUCAUGUCUAUUAUGUGGUGACCUCCGGAAAUAUACUACUAUGCUACUGAGACUCUAAUUAGAUUUACAGUAUGACAUGUAAUAUUUCAAUGUUAAUUGUGCAAACACCCAAAGUAUGUCCAGUCAAAGCCAACAAUGGAAGAAAAUUUGUAUUAGAGGCAUAAUACUUGACAUUCCAAUUUUGUGCUGAACUAUAUGUUACUUUGUGAGUUCUCAAAAACUCAUUGUCACGAAAACAUUGUAUGCACUUGGCCGUGCAAAUGCAGGGGUUAACGAAUAUCUCCCCUAAUAAUAAAGCACGGAGCGCUUCUGUCGUCCGUCGUUGGCGUUUUUGCAAAACAAAAACCUCUGUUUCUUCGAAAUCAACCCGCGGUCCCUGUGUAAGUGCAUCUGAAAAAACGUUUUCAGCGACCGCAUCUUCAGCUUGCGAUGCGGACGCCCGGGCCGACACUGGGCGGCGCGGGAGGCUAGCAGGCAGGGGCGGCGCGGGAGGCUAGCGGGCAGGGGAAAGCAGAGCAAAGCCAGCAAUCCAUCGGAAUCGAUCCACCACCACCGAAGAAAAAGACGGAAAGGAGCAGGUAGAAGAAGAUGAAAAUAGCAUACUACAUACAUGAGGUCUUUGCGUCGACGUGUCCGAGAAAGGCGCAGAGCUCCAUCAUCUGCAUGUCGAUGCCGCCGGUGGUGUAGAAGCCCUGGUUCUCGAAGAGGGAGGCGGCGGUGAUGAUGGCCUGGUAGUCCCAGAAGCCGACGGCCUUGGCGACGGGGAAGUUGCGCUUGGCGAAGAGGUUCUCGAACUUGUACACCUUGAAGAAGUCGGUGAUGGUCUGGUUGCAGCAGUACUUGGUCCCGGAGCACUCCCACCCCUUGUUGCACACCUUCUCCUGCGACUCCUUGAGCUUCACCUUCCACGUCCCCGCCGUCAGGAUCCUCUCACAUGUAAUUAUGCUCACGCACAAAUGUCCUUGUACGUACCAUAGAUUCAUAUACCUGACAAUAUUCAACUUUUCUGAUGUAGUAAGAAUGUAAAUCGUUAUUUUGUCAUUAGUGUUUUAGUUUGUUGGUUACAGGUAUAUUAUUCCAAUAUUCAUACUAUAGAAGUUGUUGCCAGGGAGUGCGAGAGGGUCAACACAGUGGCCAGCGAGGGGAGCACCAUCACGGGAGUUUUGUACAUAGAAGGCAACGUCGAGGAGAUGUCGACCGCCUUCUUUUACGGUAACAUAGAUCGUGCGCAUAUGGCCUCAACAUGUAAAUAGAGAUGGAAAGGGGCAUAUAGAUCUCUCAAGCAUGCAAUGUUUUUCCCGGAUGACAAUUUUUUUUACAUGGCUUCAAAAUUGAA